AAGUCGUAACAAGGUCUCCGUAGGUGAACCUGCGGAGGGAUCAUUACCAGAAGCCGCGUCGCGGCCCCUCGGGGCCCGGCGCCUUCGCCCAACCCUUUGUGAACCGAUAUCAAUUUCCUCGGGGGACCCCCCGGGCCUCCGGGCCCGCGGACCCCCGGUGGACAUCUCCAACUCUUGAUGUAACUGCCGUCCGAGUACAAUGCAAAUGAAACAAAACUUUCAACAACGGAUCUCUUGGUUCUG
This 243-nucleotide unclassified non-coding RNA is filed under the name Pseudoveronaea ellipsoidea. RNAcentral's name for it is "partial internal transcribed spacer region". The stretch from base 1 to 46 matches the Rfam family "Eukaryotic small subunit ribosomal RNA", at positions 1786 to 1831 of the family's 1831-position model. RNAcentral also lists the same sequence under 1 other name. Lineage: Eukaryota; Fungi; Ascomycota; Dothideomycetes; Mycosphaerellales; Dissoconiaceae. The record is from RNAcentral.